This 2513-nucleotide long non-coding RNA is filed under the name Macaca fascicularis (crab-eating macaque). RNAcentral describes it as "lncRNA (ENSMFAG00000047440.1)". Lineage: Eukaryota; Metazoa; Chordata; Mammalia; Primates; Cercopithecidae. The record is from RNAcentral.
UUUUUUUUUUUUUUUUUAAGAUGGGGUCUUCCUCUGUCACCCAAGCUGAAGUGUAGUAGCGCCAUCAUGGCUCAUGCAGCCUCGACCUCCCAGGCUCAAGUGAUCCUUCCACCUCAAAGGAUGACAUUCUUAAAGGACUUUGGGACAUCUCAUCUAUUUCCCACUCCAUCCCAGGAUGAGUUCUUAACAAGUGCACAAUAAGGACAUCUCUGGAGGAUGUUCCUAUAGUCCUUCCACAAGUAUUAAUGUGCACUCUUGUGCUCCAACAAUAGUUCCUAUUCCUAAGGGGAAAAAAAUGGUUUCCCUCUGAUGAAUAGUGCAAGAUUUAAAAAAGAGACAUGAGUGAAAGAAAGUGGGGAGUGGUGUCAAAGGCAGCAUGAAAAAUAGUUUACAAUGCUACCUCUCAUGGACUGUCCUGGGCAUUAUGGUUGUAAGCAUGGGUUUGGGGGUUGGACUCCUUGGGUCCCAGCUUGGCUCUGUCACAUCCAUGCUCUGCAACUUUACUAAACCUUUCUAAGCCUCACUCCUUCAUGUCAUGGUAGAACAACAAUAUUGGCUCAUAAGAUUGUCAAGAAGAUUAAACGAGACAAUAUAGGUAACACAUAGCUCAGUGCCUGCAGUAGAGUAAGUGUUCAAAAAUGUCAGCUCUUGCAAAACCAGCAAUGGCAAAGUAGAACACAUGAGCAUCAUAGGGUAUUGUUAGUAUUAAUUCCUAGGAGGAACUGAGGAAUUUCUUUUUUAAUCUUAGAUGAGCCACCAGGAAGGAAAAUAGAGAAGUGACAUCAGAACCGUGUUAUCUUUUCCCACACUGAGAUGACAUAGAAUAGUCUUCUCCCAAGGACAUCCUAGCUGAAGGCCGUUGAGGGUGAAGAAGGCUGUGCAACGUUCUCACCCAAGUCUGCCACUGGUUUUUCUUCCAAGACCUUUUGCAGUGCUUCUCUUAGGGACUUUCUACUUUCUUUCUCCUGAUACGACCUACCACAAAAUAGACAAUUGGAUUGACACUGCAAUUGAUAGUGGACAAAAUAUUCAAAUAAGGAUAUAAUUUCCACACCAAGUUGUUACUAGGAUUAAAAAAAGGCUAUGAUGCGCAGGACCUUUAUGGGCAUGGCAAAGACAAGAAACAAGACCACAGUAGCUAUGAUGAUUAUGUAGAGCUUGGCAGGUUGGCGUGGCUUCAGGUUACAGCAGACUUGGAUGAAGAGCCUCAAACUGGUGAAGAUCAUGAGAGGAACAAAGACAAGGAAUGCCAAGAUACCUAAAAAUUUAUAAACGUAUGGACGUUUUGGGAAUCUAAACUCAUCUACCUGGAUGCAGAAGAAGUUUUCUAAUCCAAACACAAGAAGAGAAAGUGCCCACAGCAGAGUGCAGGCUACAGCAGAUUGGUGCUUUGGGAGUUGGCACUGGUACCAGAUUGGGUAAAGCAGAGAGACACUGCUCCACACUGAUGAUGGUGAGAAGGUGCAGACCUGCGUUGUAGCCAAAAAGUAUCAGGAAGAUGAUGUAUUUCAGUAAGGUGUCAUCGUUGAGGCAAUCACAAAGCAGGAUUAUCAGCGGGAGGACAGAUGUGCAGAGGACCAUGAAGUCAGCGAUGACGAGGUGUAGGUUGUAGACAGUGAAUGGCUUCCUCUUUACAUAGAAGAUGAGAAACAACAUCAAAAGUCCAUUCCCAAUUACUCCCAGUAUGCAAAUGAGCAGGGAAAUGUAGAUAUAACGGUGCUGUUCUCAUGAUUCUACUGGGGGCUGAGUCGCUUGCUCUGAGGACCAGGUUGUGUGAUUCAGGGAUUCAUUUCUGGUACAGAGUGCAGAUUCCAGAGGGCUCAUGGUCACUGCCGAUAGCGCCAUUCUUGGGGAAUCACCGGUUUUCUCCUGUAGACCUGUUGUCAGAAACGGAAGGUGGAGUUUAUGGGUGUCAUUUGCUCUGCAUCUCAAGAUGAGCACAGUUUUAUGAAGGACGCUCCUCCACACAGUGGCGUAGGAGGGAGGAUGUAAGACCAGAGAGGCUCUUGCUAUAUUUCAUCUCCUUCCCUCUGUUCUCUCCUUCCAUCAUUUUCCCGCACGGGCAGAUUCCAUUAUGAUCUCCAUGUUUCCUCCCCUGAACCCAAGGGUUGGCUCCUAAUUCCAGCCUCGGCUACUGUCUCAGACCAGGGUCCCCUUCCUCCUGGCCCUGUAGGAAAGCCCACUAUGUCCCCAGCUUGUCCUCUGCCUUCCAGAAAGAGAUUUCUUUUCUUACCAGAACUAGGUGACAGAUUCAAGAAAAGGAUCAAAGAGACACUUAUUUAAAAGGCACCAAUGAGCAAAAACCAACACACAAAAGAAGUAAAGAAAAUAAAGAUAGUGCAUUUAGAAAUCCACCAAUCAUGUCUGUCUUAUCUCUCAUCACUAUUCUCGUUUUGCCUUUGUAACAUCCCCCGGAAGUUUAUCCAUCCUAGAUGAAGGUCAUUCCCUUGGGCUUAGUUGAUAAGAGAAUCCAGCCAUUGAUGGGAGGAUGGAAAGGAACAGGAGAGAGGAAG